CACAGGAUAUUAGUGGAAAUAAUGCAGUGGUUGUCAGGAAACGCGAGUGCAGCCACAUGGCCACUGCCAGUUAUGCAGCGAGGAUAUCCGGUGGCUGCAAAGUCUGUAAUUUAGAAUAAAAAGAGCUCUCCCAAAACCCGAGAGGCAGACCUCAGCGCCGCGUGGCGGUAGUGCGCCCGGCACCCUCUGUGGACACUGUCCAGGUCCUGACAGGUGGGAGCCAAAAGCAUGUAUCUGCUGUGCCAUGGGGUUGGAGAGGGAUACGGGAUUACACAGCUGUCUUCUUAGAUAAAUCUGACCUACUUAGCCUCCUCUGGAGUUAUUUUUCAUGCUGACUCAUGGACAACAGGA
This 351-nucleotide long non-coding RNA is filed under the name Homo sapiens (human). RNAcentral's name for it is "HSALNT0079537". The record is from RNAcentral. Lineage: Eukaryota; Metazoa; Chordata; Mammalia; Primates; Hominidae.